GCCUUGUGCUGAAUAAUGCUGGGAAAACUCCGUAGUGGCGCCGGUUUGGAAUCCGACACAACCGUGAAAAAAGUAGAGAUGCCUCGGAAGCAAGCUGAGAAGAAAAAUAUAAAAGAGAAACCAAAAUCGAGUAAGACUGAAGAGGCAGCAGAAGAGGAAGAAAUUAUUCCCCCCAAAGCUAAACAACUUAAAAAGAAAGCAGGUCCUUCUGAGGUUGACAUGAACUCUCCUAAAUCCAAAAAGGCAAAAAAGAAAGAGGAGCCAAGAUGACACGGACUCAAGAUGACACGGUUUCUCCUAAAACCAAAAGUGUGAAAAAGAAAAAGGAACCCUUGGAAAAGAAAGUUUCUUCUCCUAAAACCAAAAAUAUAAUCAGUGAGGAGCCUUCUGAAGAAGAAAUAGGUGCUUCUAAGCCCAAGAGGAUGAAGAAAGAAAAGGAAGUGAAUGGAGAAAUAGGGGAGAAGAGCCCAGAACUGAAGAAUGGAUUCUCUCAUUCUGAAUCUGACUCUAACUCCAUUGAAACUGCCAGUGAAGAAAGUAACAGUGAGAUAGAGCAGGAAAUACCUGUGGAACAAAAAGAAGGAGCUUUCUCUAAUUUUCCCAUAUCUGAAGAGACUAUUAAGCUUCUCAAGGGCCAAGGGGUGACCUUCCUGUUUCCCAUACAAGCAAAGACUUUCUAUCAUGUCUACAAUGGGAAGGACUUAGUGUCACAGGCACGGACAGGAACUGGGAAGACAUUCUCCUUUGCCAUCCCUUUGAUUGAGAAACUUCAGGGAGAACUGCAAGACAGGAAAACAGGUCGUUCCCCUAAGGUACUAGUUCUUGCACCUACAGGAGAGUUGGCAAAUCAAGUAAGCAAAGACUUUAGUGACAUCACAAAAAAGUUGGCAGUGGCCUGUUUUUACGGUGGAACACCCUAUGGAGGUCAAAUUGACCGCAUGCGGAAUGGCAUUGAUAUCCUGGUUGGGACACCAGGUCGUAUCAGAGACCAUAUACAGAAUGGCAAGCUAGAUUUCACCAAACUUAAGCAUGUUGUCCUGGAUGAAGUUGAUCUGAUAGAUGUUGGAUAUGGGUUUUGCUGAACAAGUGGAAGAGAUUUUAUGUGUUGCAUAUAAAAAAGAUUCUGAAGACAAUCCCCAAACAUUGCUUUUUUUCUGCAGCUUGCCCUCAGUGGGUAUUUAAUGUUGCUAAGAAAUACAUGAAAUCUACAUAUGAACAGGUGGACCUGAUUGGUAAAAAGACACAGAAAACGGCAAUAAGUGUGGAGCAUCCGGCUAUCAAGUGCCACUGGAGUCAGAGGGCAGCAGUGAUUGGGGAUGUGAUCCGAGUGUAUAGUGGUCAUCAAGGACGCGCUAUUGUCUUCUGCGAAACCAAGAAGGAAGCUCAGGAGCUGUCACAGAAUUCGGCUAUAACGCAGAAUGGGCUGUCAUUACAUGGAGACAUUCCACAGAGGCAAAGGGAAAUCACCCUGAAAGGUUUCAGAAAUGUUGCUUUUGGAGUUUUGGUGGCAACCGAUGUUGCUGCGCGUGGCUUAGACAUCCCUGAAGUUGAUUUGGUUGUACAAAGCUGUCCACCAAAGGAUGUAGAGUCCUACAUUCAUUGUUCUGGGCGGACAGGUAGAGCUGGAAGGACAGGGGUUUGCAUCUGCUUUUAUCAGCACAAGGAAGAAUAUCAAUUAGUACAAGUGGAACAAAAAGCGGGAACCAAGUUUAAACGAAUAGGUGUCCCUUCUGCAACAGAAAUAAUAAAAACUUCCAGCAGGUUUUUGGAUUCUGUGCUUCCCACUGCCAUUGGUCACUUCAAGGAAUCAGCCCAGAAGCUGAUAGAGGAGAAGGGAGCUGUGGAAGCCCUGGCAGCAGCAUCGGCUCAUAUUUCAGGUGCCACAUCCGUAGACCAGCGCUCCUUGAUCAACUCAGCUGCGGGUUUUGUGACCAUGAUCUUGCGGUGCUCAAUUGAAAUGCCAAACAUUAGUUAUGCUUGGAAAGAACUUAAAGAGCAACUGGGCGAGGAUGUUGAUUCCAAAGUGAAGGGAAUGGUCUUUCUCAAAGGAAAGCUGGGUGUUUGCUUUGAUGUACCCACUGCAUCAGUAACAGAAAUGCAGGAGAAAUGGCAUGAUUUGCGACGCUCGCAGCUCUCUGUGGCCACGGAGCAACCAGAGCUGGAAGGACCACGGCAAGGAUAUGGAGCCUUCAGGCGACAGCGAGAAGGAAGCAGAAACUUCAGGGGACACCGGGACGGCAGUCGAGGCUUCAGGGGACAGUGGUCAGGCGGUGACAACAAAAGUAACAGAUCCCAAAACAAAGGCCAAAAGCGGAGUUUUAGUAAAGCAUUUGGUAAAUAA
This is a non-coding RNA of Microcebus murinus (gray mouse lemur), 2341 nucleotides long. The record is from RefSeq and is a predicted model, not a curated record. NCBI's taxonomy places the organism in Eukaryota, Metazoa, Chordata, Mammalia, Primates, Cheirogaleidae.